Molecule: ribosomal RNA, 490 nt
Filed under: uncultured bacterium
Lineage: Bacteria
Description: partial 16S ribosomal RNA
Rfam family: Bacterial small subunit ribosomal RNA
Source: RNAcentral
AGUGAACGCUGGCGGCAGGCCUAACACAUGCAAGUCGAACGGCAGCACAAGAGAGCUUGCUCUCUGGGUGGCGAGUGGCGGACGGGUGAGGAAUGCAUCGGAAUCUGCCCAUUUGUGGGGGAUAACCUCGGGAAACCGGGACUAAUACCGCAUACGACCUACGGGUGAAAGCAGGGGAUCUUCGGACCUUGCGCAGAUGGAUGAGCCGAUGCCGGAUUAGCUAGUUGGAGGGGUAAAGGCCCACCAAGGCGACGAUCCGUAGCUGGUCUGAGAGGAUGAUCAGCCACACUGGGACUGAGACACGGCCCAGACUCCUACGGGAGGCAGCAGUGGGGAAUAUUGGACAAUGGGCGCAAGCCUGAUCCAGCCAUGCCGCGUGGGUGAAGAAGGCCUUCGGGUUGUAAAGCACUUUUGUUGGGAAAGAAAAGCAGCCGGUUAAUACCCGGUUGUCAUGACGGUACCCAAAGAAUAAGCACCGGCUAACUUCGUG